RNAcentral lists this ribosomal RNA (459 nucleotides) under uncultured bacterium. RNAcentral describes it as "partial 16S ribosomal RNA". It matches the Rfam family "Bacterial small subunit ribosomal RNA", at positions 338 to 795 of the family's 1533-position model. The record is from RNAcentral.
CCUACGGGUGGCAGCAGUGAGGAAUAUUGGUCAAUGGGCGGGAGCCUGAACCAGCCAAGUCGCGUGAGGGAAGACGGCCCUAUGGAUUGUAAACUUCUUUUGUAGGGGAAUAAAGGCGUCCACGGGUGGGUGUCUGAGUGUACCCGACGAAUAAGGAUCGGCUAACUCCGUGCCAGCAGCCGCGGUAAUACGGAGGAUUCGAGCGUUAUCCGGAUUUAUUGGGUUUAAGGGGUGCGUAGGCGGAGAGUAAAGUUAGCGGUAAAAAUGCGGUGCUCAACGCCGUACUGCCGUUGAAACUGGCAGGCUUGAGAGUAGGAGAGGUAUGCGGAAUGCGUGGUGUAGCGGUGAAAUGCAUAGAGAUCACGCAGAACUCCGAUUGCGAAGGCAGCAUACCGGCGCCCUACUGACGCUGAGGCACGAAAGCGUGGGUAGCGAACAGGAUUAGAUACCCUUGUAGUC